RNAcentral lists this ribosomal RNA (492 nucleotides) under uncultured bacterium. Its description in RNAcentral is "partial 16S ribosomal RNA". It matches the Rfam family "Bacterial small subunit ribosomal RNA", at positions 29 to 507 of the family's 1533-position model. The record is from RNAcentral.
AGUGAACGCUGGCGGUAGGCCUAACACAUGCAAGUCGAACGGCAGCACAGUAGGAGCUUGCUCUUACGGGUGGCGAGUGGCGGACGGGUGAGGAAUACAUCGGAAUCUACUUUUUCGUGGGGGAUAACGUAGGGAAACUUACGCUAAUACCGCAUACGACCUACGGGUGAAAGCAGGGGAUCUUCGGACCUUGCGCGAUUGAAUGAGCCGAUGUCGGAUUAGCUAGUUGGCGGGGUAAAGGCCCACCAAGGCGACGAUCCGUAGCUGGUCUGAGAGGAUGAUCAGCCACACUGGAACUGAGACACGGUCCAGACUCCUACGGGAGGCAGCAGUGGGGAAUAUUGGACAAUGGGCGCAAGCCUGAUCCAGUCAUACCGCGUGGGUGAAGAAGGCCUUCGGGUUGUAAAGCCCUUUUGUUGGGAAAGAAAAGCAGCAGGUUAAUACCCCGCUGUUCUGACGGUACCCAAAGAAUAAGCACCGGCUAACUUCGUG